Molecule: ribosomal RNA, 253 nt
Filed under: uncultured bacterium
Lineage: Bacteria
Description: partial 16S ribosomal RNA
Rfam family: Bacterial small subunit ribosomal RNA
Source: RNAcentral
UACGUAGGGCGCGAGCGUUGUCCGGAAUUAUUGGGCGUAAAGGGCUCGUAGGCGGCCAACUAAGUCGGAUGUGAAAUCCCCAGGCUUAACCUGGGAACUGCAUCCGAUACUGGAUGGCUUGAAUCCGGGAGAGGGAUGCAGAAUUCCAGGUGUAGCGGUGAAAUGCGUAGAUAUCUGGAGGAAUACCGGUGGCGAAGGCGGCAUCCUGGACCGGCAUUGACGCUGAGGAGCGAAAGCUAGGGGAGCAAACGGG